UAAUAUUAGUCAGCUAAUUAAGCUAAUGAGUUCAUACCUCAUAAAUGAAAAAUUUCCUAUU
RNAcentral lists this transfer RNA (61 nucleotides) under Tetragnatha macilenta. RNAcentral describes it as "partial tRNA-Met". The record is from RNAcentral. Lineage: Eukaryota; Metazoa; Arthropoda; Arachnida; Araneae; Tetragnathidae.